AGGAGGAAGGAGCGAGAAGAGCCAGAGAUGGACUCCCUCUUGAUUCUUCUCAUCCUAUUGAGAAUUGUACCAGACAUCUCCGGCAUCCAGCUGACUCAGUCUGGCCCAGAAACGGUGAAGCCAGGAGCGUCCUUCAAACUGACCUGUGCAGUAUCCGGUGCUCAACUCAGUAGUUCUUACUGGAUCUGGGUCCGCCAGCCGCGGGGGAAAGGGCCGGUAUGGAUAGGACGUAUCUCACCCUCUGGUGGCACCGAGUAUUAUCCUUCAUUCAGUGGCCGAAUCAGCAUCACCAGGGACACCUCCAGGAACGAGUACUAUCUUCAACUGAGCUCCCUCACCGCUGCAGACAACGCGCUGUAUUACUGUGCGAGAGACACAGAGAGGAACGUCCCAGCAAAAACCACACUCAGACUCCACCAUCCCUGGGGGAAAUGA
Sphaerodactylus townsendi is the source of this 435-nucleotide non-coding RNA. The record is from the annotation of a RefSeq genome assembly. Lineage: Eukaryota; Metazoa; Chordata; Lepidosauria; Squamata; Sphaerodactylidae.